Molecule: transfer RNA, 71 nt
Filed under: Marmota marmota marmota (Alpine marmot)
Lineage: Eukaryota; Metazoa; Chordata; Mammalia; Rodentia; Sciuridae
Also listed under: 4 other names
Rfam family: tRNA
About the family: Transfer RNA (tRNA) molecules are approximately 80 nucleotides in length. Their secondary structure includes four short double-helical elements and three loops (D, anti-codon, and T loops).
Source: Rfam by way of RNAcentral
GGGGAUGUGGCUCAGUGGUAGAGUGCUUGCCAGCAUGCACAAGGCCCUGGGUUUUAACCCCAGCAUCACAA